AACGUAGGGGGCGAGCGUUGUCCGGAAUUACUGGGCGUAAAGCGUGCGCAGGCGGUUUGUUAAGCGAGAUGUGAAAGCCCCGGGCUCAACCUGGGAACCGCAUUUCGAACUGGCAAACUAGAGUCUUGUAGAGGGGGGUAGAAUUCCAGGUGUAGCGGUGAAAUGCGUAGAGAUCUGGAGGAAUACCGGUGGCGAAGGCGGCCCCCUGGACAAAGACUGACGCUCAGGCACGAAAGCGUGGGGAGCAAACAGG
This 253-nucleotide ribosomal RNA is filed under the name uncultured microorganism. Its description in RNAcentral is "partial 16S ribosomal RNA". It matches the Rfam family "Bacterial small subunit ribosomal RNA", at positions 524 to 776 of the family's 1533-position model. The record is from RNAcentral.